AACGAACGCUGGCGGCAUGCCUAACACAUGCAAGUCGAACGAGACCUUCGGGUCUAGUGGCGCACGGGUGCGUAACGCGUGGGAAUCUGCCCCUUGGUUCGGAAUAACAGUUAGAAAUGACUGCUAAUACCGGAUAACGACGAAAGUCCAAAGAUUUAUAGCCGAGGGAUGAGCCCGCGUAAGAUUAGCUUGUUGGUGAGGUAACGGCUCACCAAGGCGACGAUCUUUAGCUGGUCUGAGAGGAUGAUCAGCCACACUGGGACUGAGACACGGCCCAGACUCCUACGGGAGGCAGCAGUGGGGAAUAUUGGACAAUGGGCGAAAGCCUGAUCCAGCAAUGCCGCGUGAGUGAUGAAGGCCUUAGGGUUGUAAAGCUCUUUUACCCGGGGUGAUAAUGACAGUACCGGGAGAAUAAGCCCCGGCUAACUCCGUGCCAGCCGCCGCGGUAA
This 449-nucleotide ribosomal RNA is filed under the name uncultured bacterium. RNAcentral's name for it is "partial 16S ribosomal RNA". It matches the Rfam family "Bacterial small subunit ribosomal RNA", at positions 29 to 523 of the family's 1533-position model. The record is from RNAcentral.